Long non-coding RNA from Peromyscus eremicus (cactus mouse), 937 nucleotides. RefSeq lists it as uncharacterized. Lineage: Eukaryota; Metazoa; Chordata; Mammalia; Rodentia; Cricetidae. The record is from RefSeq and is a predicted model, not a curated record. The transcript has 4 exons.
AAGAAUCAGCUUCCUCUAGCUCGCAGGGGACCAGGUCCAAGGAGAAACUGACUAGGUUUCAACAUUUCUGAACUUGUUCUGAACGUCUGAGCUUCAGGACACUAUGGAAUGUUUGUAGGAUUCACUCUUUACCCCACCUCAGACCAAGUGGGACCGAAGAGGCUGGGGUGUAGCCUUUUGACAAGCACGGGUGUGUGCUGAUGCCUGUAACCAUGGGAAAGUCUCCUGUAGCCUGAAGUCUUUCCAGUCGUGGACCUGUGUAAAAAUUCAAGAUCUGGAAAUGAGACAUUUUUAACUAAGGAAAUGCUCUUCAAAACUUAGAUUUUUACCAGCGACCUCCAGCAAAAUGCCCUAUUAUCAGCUUCCUACAGAUCUCUUGAGAGCCACCCUGAGGCAUUAUUACGGAAGCAAUCCUCCCCAGGGCCACUUCCCUGGCUGUGCCGCCCUCCAUGAAGGAUUUUUUUUAUUUGAGAAAUGAGUACCUCAUCACGUACAAACGUCACAUCACUUCCAGCCCCAUUGUCGCCUGGGAAUAGUCUCUCUACUGCUUCAUCAGAACAGUGUGUCAUAGACAUUCUCCGGAGAACACGGUUUUGGAUUGCCACCAACAGUGUGGAAGUGUCCAGACAGCUCAUCAGUGUCUUCCCUUGCCAUCUCAGAUCCGAUACAGAGGCUCCCACAGCUAGGGAAAAGCACACAAAUCCAUUUAUGUACACUCUCUGUGAUAGGAAGACUUCAUAAGGGAAUGAAGACCCAAGGAAAAGAGUUGAUCUGUGUGUUUUCAAUGCUAGGGCUUUUAUCGUCUUGUCUGUUAUUAUUUGUUAUCUCACUGUGUAGCCCUGGCUAGCCCAGAGCUCUCUGUUGUAGACCAGGCUGGCCUCAAACUCAUGGAGACCCUCCUGCUUCUGCCUCCCAAGUGUUAGGACUAAAGGCAUGC